GAUGAACGCUGGCGGCGUGCCUAAUACAUGCGAGUCGAGCGAACAGACGAGGAGCUUGCUCCUUUGACGUUAGCGGCGGACGGGUGAGUAACACGUGGGUAACCUACCUAUAAGACUGGGAUAACUUCGGGAAACCGGAGCUAAUACCGGAUAAUAUUUCGAACCGCAUGGUUCGAUAGUGAAAGAUGGCUUUGCUAUCACUUAUAGAUGGACCUGCGCCGUAUUAGCUAGUUGGUAAGGUAACGGCUUACCAAGGCAACGAUACGUAGCCGACCUGAGAGGGUGAUCGGCCACACUGGAACUGAGACACGGUCCAGACUCCUACGGGAGGCAGCAGUAGGGAAUCUUCCGCAAUGGGCGAAAGCCUGACGGAGCAACGCCGCGUGAGUGAUGAAGGUCUUCGGAUCGUAAAACUCUGUUAUUAGGGAAGAAUAAACGUGUAAGUAACUGUGCACGUCUUGACGGUACCUAAUCAGAAAGCCACGGCUAACUACGUG
Molecule: ribosomal RNA, 497 nt
Filed under: uncultured bacterium
Lineage: Bacteria
Description: partial 16S ribosomal RNA
Rfam family: Bacterial small subunit ribosomal RNA
Source: RNAcentral